Rhinopithecus roxellana (golden snub-nosed monkey) is the source of this 4872-nucleotide long non-coding RNA. RefSeq lists it as uncharacterized. The record is from RefSeq and is a predicted model, not a curated record. NCBI's taxonomy places the organism in Eukaryota, Metazoa, Chordata, Mammalia, Primates, Cercopithecidae. The transcript is spliced from 3 exons.
GGCAGGCUGGUCUCGAACUCCUGACCCCAAGUGAUCCACCUGCCACGGUCCCCCAAAGUGCUGGGAUUGCAGGCAUGAGCCACCGCACCUGGCCUCUCAGCCACAUUAUUGAUCUGCUCACCAUGUCCUCCCUCCCCCCAGUCAUUGUCCCCAAACUAACAUGAGCUUCCCAAAGCCCACAGAGUUUGCCAUGGCUUCGGGAACACUCAGACUCUUGCCUACUCCUCCAGCCUGGCACCAAAGAGGCACCCCCCACACAAAAUUUGCUGAAUGAAGGACUGAGUGAUGUCAUUGGGUCACAGUCAUCUCCUGGGGCUCUCUUGUCCCUUUGACUCCACCUCUCAUCUGCCUGUGUGAAUCUCCCAGUUGGACUGGAAAAAGGUUUAGCUCACCUCUUUAUCCUGCAAGGAAGCUCUGCAGGAAACUCUCCAACUGGACAAUAAGCCCCCUUGCCUUUGCAAAAACAUUUUAAUACCUGUUAUUUUCGGCUGAUUCCCACAGAGAUUGGCAGCACUGAUUUUGAAGGCCACGUGUACUCCAGAUUCUUGUCACCAGCAGCACCACUGCCCCACCUUGCGUGUUGUUCCCACUGAGCUGUGAGUCCCAGGACAGAUGCUACACUUCUCACCCUGUGCCCCAGCUCCAGUCGCACACACUGGUCCAAUGUGGGCUGGCACAGAAGACUGCAGGCCUGGGGGUGCCCAGCACUGGGACUGGAGGUCAGAACACCUGACUUCAAAGUCUGGUUUGAGCCCGUUCUGUGUGCCCUUGGCCUCCUCCUCCCCCCACUACUCCCCAUCACUCUCCCAGGCUGAAUGUGAGGGAAUCACUGAAACCCCCUGGCCAGCCCCCACUGCAGCGUGGCCUUGAGGAGCAGAGGCCACCCCUGAGAGCAGGAGGUCCUGGAUUCACGUCCUGAAGCCACCGUUUCCUGGUGGGGUGACCUGGAACUCUUGAUUCUCUUUCCUCCCUGGAAUUCCCCAUUACCUCGUCACACCCUCACAUCCACCCUGUAAGGUUGGUACUUUAGGAUCCCCAUUUAACAGCUAGAGAAACAGAAGCUCAGGGAAACUAAAGAGUUCCUGCCUUGGAAGGUUGGGAGGAUGAAAUGGGUUCCAUGUGCAAGUUGCUUGGCCCAGUACCUGAGGACAAGGGAUGGUUAGUAAACAAGUCCCUGUGCGCUCCCUCCUCCUUUGUCCUCCCUUUGUUUCUGGGCUACGAUUCACACCUGGGUUACGGGGGCUCCACAAAUCCUGUAUUUUCUAGGCACCAGAGGGCUGUCAGAACAGGGACAGGGGAGCUGGAAUGGGGUCAUGGAGAAGUCAAUCAGGGAGGCCACUCAAGUGUCUCCACCUGUGGAUACUCAUGCUGGCCCCUGGAUGCAGAUGUGUGCAGCAGGCGAAGGAGCUGAGGCUGGGGAGAGGUAUCCCAGGCAGAAGGAAAGGCAAGAGCAAGAGAGCAGGGCAUUCAUGGGUGGCUGUGAGGAGCCACUUGCCAGACACCAGUGACCGAUCAGCUCCAGAGGAUGUGCUGUGGUCAGAGAUGCCCCACCUGUCUUGUUCUCGAUAAGGACACCCUGCUUGAUUGAAAAUUAUGGUGGACAUCAACCCAAUGGCCUCAAAUUCCAGCGACCUGCAGAUGGAUACUAGUGUCCUUCAAUAUCAAGAUUCUAGAAUUCUUGCCUCUCUGUUUAUUCAAAUGGAUUAACUGAGAACCUACUGUGCGCAGACAGCAUUCUCAGUGCUGGGAUACACACAUGAACAAGACAAGGUCCUGGCCUUCUUAGUCCAUUUGGGCUACUGUAACAACAUACCUUGGACUGGGUGGCUUAUAAACAACAGAAAUGCAUUGUUGACAGUUCUGGAGACUGGGAAGUCGAAGACCUAAGCACCAGCAGAUUCUGCGUCCGAGCUCUGUGCUUCAUGGUGCCUUCUUGCCACAUCCUCCCAUGGCCGGAGGGCAAAAAGCUCCCUCAGGGCUUUGUUAUAAGGGCAUGAAUCCUGUUCAUGAGGGUGGGGGCCCCACUCUCCCCAAAGACCCCCUCUCAGUACCAUUGGACUGGGGAUUCAGUUUCAACACAUGAAUACGGGGGACGUAGACAUUUAGACCAUGUGGGCUCUAGGAUGGCCGUGAUGCUAAUGAAAGCAAAAACAGUGCAAAUCAGGAAGGCAGGAUUUUCUUCCACUCAAUCCAGUGACAAACUUCUUUUCCUAUCUCAUUUUACAGGCAAGGAGACUGGUCCUUUGCCCAGAUCCCACAGCCAGAGAGGGGCGAGGCAGGGUGGAAACCCUGGUCUGUGUCCCUCAGGCCUGGGCCCUGGGAUGUGUGAGUCUCUUCUGGCUUCUGUAACAAAUGACCACUAACUGGCUAGAAACAGCACAACUGUAGCAUCUUACAGCUCCAGAGGUCAGGAGUUGGAAAUGGGCCUUGCUUGGCUAAACUCAAGGUGUCAGCAGGAGGGCACUCUCCCUGGAGGUCCUAGGGGAGAAUCUUGUUUCUUGCCUUUUCCAGCUUUUAGAGGCUGCUGGAUUUCUUGGCUCAUAGCCGCCUUUUCCAUGUUCAAGACCAGCAGUGGAGCGUCCUUAAAUCUCCCUUUCUGACUCUGGCCCUCCUGUCUCCCUCUUAUGAGGACCCUUGUGAUGAUACCGGCUCCUCCGGAUCAGCCAGGGUCACCUCCUCACUUGGAGAUCCUUGACUUCCUCACUUGGAGAUCCUUGACUUUCUCACAUCUGUAAGUCCCUGCUGCCACAUAAGGAGGCCAGGAUGCUUCUGAUCUUUAAAAGACUAAAGCCCUCCAAACAAGUCUGAGGACACUCCUGGCUUACUUUUGUUUUGGCCACGAAAGUUUGCCAGUAUCCCUGGCCUUCAGGCUGAUGCCCUGGGAGGAUGAAGGGACUGAGUUGGGGAAAUAUCUGUGAAUGGGGGGUGGUGUGGAUUCACAGGUUUCAGGGGUUGGAAUGCCAAUGUCUUUGGGACCCAUUUUUCUGCCUUCCACAGUGUGGAUGGUGGGAAAGCUCCUGGUUCCAGGGCGCAAACUUAGGCUGGUUCUUUGGCCUCUCUGUGCCUCAGUUUAUAUAAUGAGGGUGAGGAGAAUAUCUGUUUUGUGGGGUUGUUGAAGUAGUAAAGGAGUUGGUAAUUGAAAAGUGCUAAACGUAUGCCAGGCACUGUGGACACACGUGCUGUACCUUUUGGGGUUCACAUCCCUCCCCCAACUGCUGCCACCCCACCCAGCCUGGCAUGUAGUGGUGCAAUCACAGCUCACUGAAGCCUUGACUUUCCGGGCUUAAGCCAUCCUCCCACCUCAGCCUCUGGAGUAGCUGGGACCACAGGUGCACACCACGACACCUGGCUAAUUUUUCAAUUUUUUGUAGAGACGGGGUUUUGCCAUGUUGUCCAGGCUGGAAGUCCAUAUGACAUUGAAGUUCUCUUUCAGUUUUGACAUCUGAUCCAUCUAUGGCUGUGUGUGUGACUGUGUGUGUGUGUGUGAUUGUGUCUGUGUAUGAUUGUGUGUGUGUGCACGCAUCUUUAUGGGGACUGAGGGUGGGUGGAACAGAGACUGGGAGAGACACUUUGUGAAAUGUUUAUAUUUUAUGCCUUUUGAUGUAAUUCCAGCCAAACUAGAUCUUAAAUCAUGCAGCAGGAAGCUCCUCAAAAUUUUUAAUUUGUUGUUUUUCUUAGAAAUGAUUAUUUCCACAUUGUGCCCAGAGACACUCGUGUCUCGUCCUGCCUCCCAUCCUUGUGCUGUUCUAAAAGAUCCCCAGGCGGCGGUUGUUUACUGCUGCCAAUCAGGUGGGCUUUGCACAAACCAUGCUUUGGGUCCACCCUGUCGUUCUGUGAAGCUGUAAUAUCUUUGGGGAAGAUUUUACAGCUUGUCCCACAUAAGCUGGGGCUGGGAUGUCAUUUAGAAGAAGGCCAACCUGUAGAUUCCUUGCUAAAAACCACAUGGCAUUUUACAAGACGGGUGGAGAGGGAGAGCUGGGGUUGGGUGUGGGGCAGCAGUGAGCUGGAUUCUUGGGGAAUCUUCUCCGCAUUUAAUUUAAUUUUUGACGUUGAGAGCUUGAUCCUGGUUUUGAAGAACAAUGGAGUACAAGAAGAAAAAGACAUCACAUAAAUUUAAUUAGAAUGGAGGAAAGAGAUGCUUUUGAUCUUUAAGAGACUAAAGCCCCAAACAAAUCCAAAGUGCAUCCGUGGCCUUGAAACUGAUAACCCAGGAGGACGGAGGGACAGAGCUGGGGGACUAUUUGAGAUGGGGUGGAGGGGUGGGUGCAUGAGGGUGGGCUAAUGCAUGACCCACAAGCUGACCUCAAAGGUUAGCUCUUUACAAGCAAGCAAGGACACCAGAGGUUCUGUGAGUGGUGUGGGGAUGCCUCUGAGGGCUGGGCCUGCAGGAAUUUCACACCACGACAAGGCACCAGCGGCAAGAGGGGCUCAGAGAAAGGACUUGAGGCAGCAGUAGCACAGGGUCCCUUUGCACGGGACACCUCCUGAGGGUCGGGAUGGGGGUAAGGGCAUGAAGGUGGGGCUUGGGAGUCAGGCAGAGAUGGGUUCAAAUCCCAGCUAGCAGUGCUGGGAUAAAGCACCUGAGUCUCUGUGUGUCAGUUUCCUCAUCUGUAAAGGGAAGGUGAUUUUAAUUCAUGAUGUUGUUGCAAAGGUGGAGUGAGCUGGUGGGGACAAACAGGCCCAACAAGGCACAGCCGUGGGAUUUCAAGAUGGAAACAGCUUUACUGUUUUUAUCUGAUUCUAACUGGGGUUUCUCAACUCUGACACCCCUAACAUUUCUAUUGGUUGAUUGAUUGAUUGAUUGAGACAGGGUCUUGCUCUGUUGCCCAGAAUGAGGUGCAGUGGCACAAUCAUGGCUCACGGCAGUCUCUU